AGAAAAUAAGUUUUCUGAAGAAGUGUCAGAACAAAAGAAUCACCAGAAAAGAAAAACGGGAAAGUGAAAGGGAGUGAAUGAAUCAUGAGAUGAAAUUAUGCUGGUUUUGUGCUCUCUUAUCCUUGAGGCUUUUUGAAUCCAUAGAAAAACAAUGACUUUUUGUAGCCCAGCCCCGUUACAAGCUUUAUGAAGUCCUUAGUGAUCCACGACUGAUAGCAUGUUUUGUUAUAUUGCUUGGAUGAAUGUUUGAAUUGAAUUGUUGCAUGCACAUUGCUUGGAUUGAGUGAAACACUUGCCCUUGAGUGAAAUAUUUGUGAGAAAUUUGUGAUAACACUUGAAUCUUAAUUGUUUGAUAAGAAUGUUGAGAAUUUUGCUUAGGCGUAGCAAUCACUUCAUGAUCAUGCUUUGUUUCUUUGAAUAUUUUAAGGAUUAGUCUUUAGUUGGCAUUGCUUUACUCAUGCUAGAAGAAGAAGAUUUUCAAACUUUGAUUGAUUACAAACCCACUCUUGAGAUUGCAAAUUUUGAGCUUGUCUAUAUUUUGAUAUUACCUUUUGUUUGAGGACAAACAAAGUCCUAAGUUGGGGAGAGUUGAUAAGUGCUAAAUUUCAGUGAUUUUACCUAUACAUUUUAAGCACUUAUUGACUUAUUUUAUAAG
RNAcentral lists this long non-coding RNA (655 nucleotides) under Trifolium pratense (red clover). RNAcentral describes it as "long non-coding RNA (TPRA_LNC009831)". Lineage: Eukaryota; Viridiplantae; Streptophyta; Magnoliopsida; Fabales; Fabaceae. The record is from RNAcentral.